CGUAGGGCGAGCGUUGUCCGGAAUCAUUGGGCGUAAAGCGCGUGUAGGCGGCUCAGUCAGUCUGGUGUGAAACCUUGGGCUCAACCCCAAGCCUGCACUGGAUACUGCUGAGCUUGAGUCCGGGAGGGAGAGCGGAAUUCCUAGUGUAGCGGUGAAAUGCGCAGAUAUUAGGAAGAACACCGGUGGCGAAGGCGGCUCUCUGGAACGGUACUGACGCUGAGACGCGAAAGCGUGGGAGCGAACAGGAUU
This 249-nucleotide ribosomal RNA is filed under the name uncultured bacterium. RNAcentral describes it as "partial 16S ribosomal RNA". It matches the Rfam family "Bacterial small subunit ribosomal RNA", at positions 528 to 779 of the family's 1533-position model. The record is from RNAcentral.